UAAAGAGGGAAUUCAAGGGAACUUCGUUGAGAUUUGGAGCAUUUGGAGGGCGAUUCAAGAGGCAAGGCAUCGUGGGCUAGAGUUUGGACCGGUUAGAGAUCCACAUAUUUCUGAGCUCGGUCGCAGGUUCAUCGGAGUUAGCAAGGUUAUUGCCUGACGUUCGCAGCCCUGUCUCUCUCCUUCCUAUUCUAGUACUUUAUAUUUCAGACUUGUUUGUGUAUUGAGCAGAUAGUGUUGAGAGUACUUAGUGGCUCAUGACUAGUGACACCAGAUUCGGGCUGGGUCGAUGUAUUUACAUAGUUGAUUCCGCGUAUUUCUGUUGAUAUAUUAAAAAUGAAAGAUUUGAGACUCAA
Long non-coding RNA from Nicotiana attenuata, 353 nucleotides. RefSeq lists it as uncharacterized. NCBI's taxonomy places the organism in Eukaryota, Viridiplantae, Streptophyta, Magnoliopsida, Solanales, Solanaceae. The record is from RefSeq and is a predicted model, not a curated record. The transcript is spliced from 3 exons.